RNAcentral lists this ribosomal RNA (506 nucleotides) under uncultured bacterium. RNAcentral describes it as "partial 16S ribosomal RNA". It matches the Rfam family "Bacterial small subunit ribosomal RNA", at positions 29 to 523 of the family's 1533-position model. The record is from RNAcentral.
AGUGAACGCUGGCGGUAGGCCUAACACAUGCAAGUCGAACGGCAGCACAGGAGAGCUUGCUCUCUGGGUGGCGAGUGGCGGACGGGUGAGGAAUACAUCGGAAUCUACUCUGUCGUGGGGGAUAACGUAGGGAAACUUACGCUAAUACCGCAUACGACCCACGGGUGAAAGCAGGGGACCUUCGGGCCUUGCGCGAUUGAAUGAGCCGAUGUCGGAUUAGCUAGUUGGCGGGGUAAAGGCCCACCAAGGCGACGAUCCGUAGCUGGUCUGAGAGGAUGAUCAGCCACACCGGAACUGAGACACGGUCCAGACUCCUACGGGAGGCAGCAGUGGGGAAUAUUGGACAAUGGGCGCAAGCCUGAUCCAGCCAUACCGCGUGGGUGAAGAAGGCCUUCGGGUUGUAAAGCCCUUUUGUUGGGAAAGAAAUCCAGCUGGCUAAUACCCGGUUGGGAUGACGGUACCCAAAGGAUAAGCACCGGCUAACUUCGUGCCAGCCGCCGCAGUAA